ACAUCUGAUUCUUUCCCAUAAGCAAUCUGAGAGUGGGGUCUUUCAAGGAAGGUGAAGAGGAAGGCUUCAUGAGGGUAUGGGAUUCCAAAACAGGAAAGGAAGAUGGGCCAGUAAAAUGAAAGAGCUAGCUUGUGAGCUGAAUACAAGGAUUGACUGUUUCACGAUUUUGCGUAGAGUAUUACAGUCAUGUGGAAGGCAGAGCAGACUAGAACAAGGAGCAUGGAGCUUGGGUUCUUUAGAGUCAAAAGAAUUCCUGAUCCUGUUGCUUUUCAGCUGACUGGACUAAAAUGGCAUAAAUAUUACUUAUCUUUUGGGCCUGGUUCUGGUGAUACUCACAAUACCUAUUACUGUUUUCUUCCCUGCCUUCUGUAGUUAUCAUUGGCCUGAAACCUUUGCUCAAAGGCAGCAAGGUCAGCCCUCUCAGCAUACCAGCCGGGCCUGUCAGGGUCUGUCAGCUACAGUAGUUUCCCGGUUGCUUCAGGCACCAUCUCAGCACUCACUUGAGGCUUUCUCUGUGAAUCCUGAAGUGUAGCAUCUGUCUUCCCUGUCUGCAGGUUCCAUAUCUUGGCUCGCAGUGCAGCUGUCCUGCAAUGAGCUUCCACCUAGCCUGCCACAAGGAAGAUGCUGCCCUUGCUGCUUGUCAUUUUAUACUGUCCAUCUGGUCCAACUCCUCAGACCACACACAGAACCCAAUAUCAACCCAUAAAGAAUCAUUCGGGAGCUCUGGAGAAGGAAAGGGCUGGGACGACACCACAGCAUGGCUUGAUGAGCAGUGUGUAGGUCCAUGCCCAGGAUCCAAACCUGCAAACCCUGGACUGCAGAAGUAGAGCGUGCAAACUUAACCUCUAUGCCACCAGGCCAGCCUCUCAUCUGACUUUCAUUUUUUGACUUGUCUGCCUUUAAGCUGUUUAAGUUUCUGAGCUCCAUUUUACUCUUGUGAUUUCUAGAAUAAUUUUUUUUUAGUCAAGAAGGCAGUAUGAUUAAUAUAAGAGCUAUCAAUUUCAUGACCAGAAAUCUAUGAAAUGACCAGCUCAUUAGUUUAAGGACCUAUGGUGUGUGUCUUUUUUCUUUCUUUUUUAACUAACUCAAAAACUUUCAGCAAAAUAAAAGUAAACAGUACUCAAAAAUUCAUGUUU
This 1136-nucleotide long non-coding RNA is filed under the name Equus caballus (horse). Its description in RNAcentral is "lncRNA (ENSECAG00000059721.1)". The record is from RNAcentral. Lineage: Eukaryota; Metazoa; Chordata; Mammalia; Perissodactyla; Equidae.